UAAAAAGCUCGUAGUUGGAUCUGUGUCCCGGAUGGUCGGUGCGCCGCUCGCGGUGUCUUCACUGACUCUUCCGGACGUCCUGCCGGUGGACCGUUCGUCGGCCCCCUCGGGGGUUCGCGCGGGCGGCCCUGACUCCCUCCGCGCUGCUCUUAACCGAGCGGUUCGGUGGGCCGGCAAGUUUACUUUGAACAAAUUUGAGUGCUCAAAGCAGGCGGCAAGUCGCCUGAAAACUGUGUGCAUGGAAUAAUGGAAUAGGACUUCGGUUCUAUUUUGUUGGCUUUUCUGAACCCGAAGUAAUGAUUAAUAGGGACAGACGGGGGCAUUCGUAUUCAAGCGUUAGAGGUGAAAUUCUUGGAUCGCUUGAAGACGGACGGAUGCGAAAGCGUUUGCCAAGAAUGUUUUCGCUAAUCAAGAACGAAAGUUAGAGGUUCGAAGGCGAUCAGAUACCGCCCUAGUUCUAACCAUAAACGAUGCCAGCCAGCGAUGCGCCCGAGUUCCUCCGAUGACUGGGCGCGCAGCUUCCGGGAAACCAAAGCUUUUGGGUUCCGGGG
Molecule: ribosomal RNA, 551 nt
Filed under: Ephemera orientalis (oriental mayfly)
Lineage: Eukaryota; Metazoa; Arthropoda; Insecta; Ephemeroptera; Ephemeridae
Description: SSU rRNA
Rfam family: Eukaryotic small subunit ribosomal RNA
Source: RNAcentral